RNAcentral lists this ribosomal RNA (253 nucleotides) under uncultured bacterium. RNAcentral describes it as "partial 16S ribosomal RNA". It matches the Rfam family "Bacterial small subunit ribosomal RNA", at positions 524 to 776 of the family's 1533-position model. The record is from RNAcentral.
UACGUAGGGGGCAAGCGUUAUCCGGAUUUACUGGGUGUAAAGGGGGCGUAGACGGCAAGGCAAGUCUGAUGUGAAAACCCAGGGCUUAACCCUGGGACUGCAUUGGAAACUGUCUGGCUCGAGUGCCGGAGAGGUAAGCGGAAUUCCUAGUGUAGCGGUGAAAUGCGUAGAUAUUAGGAAGAACACCAGUGGCGAAGGCGGCUUACUGGACGGUAACUGACGUUGAGGCUCGAAAGCGUGGGGAGCAAACAGG